AGCACGUUAUGGUGGGCGACUCUAAGGAGGACUGCCGGUGACAAACCGGAAGGAAGGUGGGGAGUGACGUCAAGUCAUCAUGGCCCUUACGGCCUGGGCUACACACGUGCUACAAUGGUCGGUACAAAGGGUUGCCAAGCCGCGAGGUGGAGCUAAUCCCAUAAAACCGAUCGUAGUCCGGAUCGCAGUCUGCAACUCGACUGCGUGAAGUCGGAAUCGCUAGUAAUCGUGAAUCAGAAUGUCACGGUGAAUACGUUCCCGGGCCUU
This 267-nucleotide ribosomal RNA is filed under the name uncultured Pseudomonas sp. Its description in RNAcentral is "partial 16S ribosomal RNA". It matches the Rfam family "Bacterial small subunit ribosomal RNA", at positions 1120 to 1382 of the family's 1533-position model. The record is from RNAcentral. Lineage: Bacteria; Pseudomonadati; Pseudomonadota; Gammaproteobacteria; Pseudomonadales; Pseudomonadaceae.